Molecule: long non-coding RNA, 2088 nt
Organism: Cavia porcellus (domestic guinea pig)
Lineage: Eukaryota; Metazoa; Chordata; Mammalia; Rodentia; Caviidae
Exons: 2
Source: RefSeq, a predicted model, not a curated record
CGGUUUGUGUAGCGCCCCCUGCCGGCAGGCCCGGCGCGGCGGCCAAGCGCGGGCGCGGACGGACUCCGGCGGGCUGCCUGGCGGCGGUGGCGAGGGCGACUUCCUGGGGCGGCGCCGCUUUCUGGAGCGCUCUUUACUCCCCGCCAUGCCCUUUCCCCUCUCUUCUGCCUCUCAGCCUAAGAGGCCCAACCCUCCACCGUGUCCCAAGAGCCCAGCCCAUAAACCCGAGUGCGUUCCUGCACGGUUCCAGCCCCUUGUAGAACCCUAAUUCCGAAGAGCUCAGAGCCCUUUCCCCGAAAAGUUCCUGGUUCUCCUCCAUGCCCAGCGCUCUUUCACGCCGGACCCUGCCCCGCGCGCCACGCCCCCCACCCAGUUCCCGCAGGCACCACCCCGGGCCCGGCCCUCUCUGAGCUGCGAGGUUGGCAGCUCCUUCUGACAGGUCUGCGCUCCCCGAGCCCCCGCCUGGUCCCCGGCUGCGCCCGACUCUGCUCCGAGGGGUGAGGCGCAGCGGCAGGGGCAAGGGCCGGGAGGCGCCAGGUGCUUGCGUCCCUCGCUCUCCGCGGCCUGGAGCCCCGCCCGGGCGUGGUGUGGACUUUCUGUAAGCGCGCGACAAAACAGAGUUUUGGGAGUCACGGUGGCCGAGUGGUUAAGGCGUUGGACUCGAAAUCCAAUGGGGUUUCCCCGCACAGGUUCGAAUCCUGUUCGUGACGGCUGCUCUUUUUCGCUUUACGACGGGUAGAAGGAGAGCUCUGGUCCUCAUGCUUGCUUGCACUUUCUGUUUCGGUCUGGAAAAGGCAUCGCAUUCCUACGAUAAGGGGGCCGAGGGUGAUCUCAGAAGCUUAGUUGUGCUGCACUGUGUUCGCUGCUAGGAUACAAGGCUUUUAAAGAAUUUUCCAACUUGACGUUUGCUAGCAGGGCUUGGGCGCACAGAUUGUUUUUAUUAAGGGGACAGCAAAGAAUUGGGUUAAGUUUUGUUUGGAAACCUGAGUGCUUGUUGCGCAGUAACAGUCAAACCUGGAGUUUCUAGGAAAGCUGAGCCUCUGAAUUUUGUGACUGGAGUCCUGCUUUGUGAGUCUGCUGACACUGAAGACCCACUGCACGGUCUGUGCCACUACUUGAGGCGUGUCAAGUAGGCAGGGCUGGGUUGGAACUACUGAAACAGACGCUGCGGCUACAAGACGGAGGGUAACUUUCUACUGAAUGCUGCUUAUGUGCCUGCUUCCAGGGAUGCUGGGAUUUCAGGACUGCACUAUUCCUCCCAGCCUCGUACUUUAUUUAUAGUGCAGCAGCACCACAGAGAGCCGCACACUCAAGGGUAAUGAGUAGUACUCGCCUGGCCCCAUCUGCUCUUCAUUAGUACCACCCCUAGCCCCCAUGUCCUUUGGGGUUUUUUUUUUUUUUUUUUUUUUGUUUGUUUGUUUGUUUUUUUUGUUGUUGUUUUUGUUUUGGUACCGGGGAUUGAACUCACGAUCUUGCAAUUGCAAGGUAGACACUUACACCACUGAGCUAAAUCCCUGGUCCCAACCCCCAUGUCCUUUAGACCCCUGCACACCCUAGCAGUGUUCAGUGUUCACCCUAGCUGGAACCCAUCAGUCUGCCAGCAGUAUUCGCCAAGUUGCCUAUAAAGAAUUUCUUGACAUGCUUCUGAAAUUUGGAAGUAAGUUCUGUUUAUCAUUCUGCCUUCUAAAUAUGUUUCAGGUCAGUCAACUUUUCUAAGGGAUGAGUGCAGGUUGAGCCUACUAUUUGUCAUGACAGUUUUGUUUUUCUUUUCAGCUUUGUGGAUCAAACCCAGGAUCAGGCAUGUGCUAGGAAGUGUUCUAUCACUGAUCCUACACCUCAGCCCAAGUGAUGUAUGUUGAGCUACACCAUGAUAAACAUAGCAGCUGCUCCAAGCUCACCUUGCCUUUGUAUUGCAUGGUCUGAAACAGACCUUUUCUCUCACCAUUCUUCCUCUCGCACUACAUUCUGUCCACCAGCAUUCUUUUUUUUUAUUAUUUUAAAGUAAAUUAAACACAACAAAACAGAACAAAAUAUGACAUAAGAAACCAAUGUAAGAGAUUAAAAAUUUCAAAGUUAGACGACCUCAGA